AAUCAACGCUGGCGGCGUGCCUCAGACAUGCAAGUCGAACGCGAAAGUCCCCUUCGGGGGACAAGUAGAGUGGCGCACGGGUGAGUAACACGUAGGUAAUCUACCUUCGGAUGGGGAAUAACAACCGGAAACGGUUGCUAAUACCGCAUAAUGCAGCGGCACCUAAUGGUGACAGUUGUUAAAGCGGGGGAUUGAAAGACCUCGCGUCUGAAGAGGAGCCUGCGGCGGAUUAGCUUGUGGUAGGGUAACGGCCUACCAAGGCGACGAUCCGUAGCCGGCCUGAGAGGGCGGUCGGGCCACACUGACACUGACAUACGGGUCAGACUCCUACGGGAGGCAGCAGUCGGGAAUUUUGGGCAAUGGGCGAAAGCCUGACCCAGCAACGCCGCGUGAAGGAU
This 398-nucleotide ribosomal RNA is filed under the name uncultured bacterium. Its description in RNAcentral is "bacterial SSU rRNA". It matches the Rfam family "Bacterial small subunit ribosomal RNA", at positions 32 to 409 of the family's 1533-position model. The record is from RNAcentral.